RNAcentral lists this ribosomal RNA (492 nucleotides) under uncultured bacterium. RNAcentral's name for it is "partial 16S ribosomal RNA". It matches the Rfam family "Bacterial small subunit ribosomal RNA", at positions 29 to 507 of the family's 1533-position model. The record is from RNAcentral.
AGUGAACGCUGGCGGUAGGCCUAACACAUGCAAGUCGAACGGCAGCACAGUAAGAGCUUGCUCUUACGGGUGGCGAGUGGCGGACGGGUGAGGAAUACUUCGGAAUCUACUUUUUCGCGGGGGAUAACGUAGGGAAACUUACGCUAAUACCGCAUACGACCUACGGGUGAAAGCAGUGGAUCUUCGGACCUUGCGCGAUUGAAUGAGCCGAUGUCGGAUUAGCUAGUUGGCGGGGUAAAGGCUCACCAAGGCGACGAUCCGUAGCUGGUCUGAGAGGAUGAUCAGCCACACUGGAACUGGAACACGGUCCAGACUCCUACGGGAGGCGGCAGUGGGGAAUAUGGGACAAUGGGCGCAAGCCUGAUCCAGCCAUACCGCGUGGGUGAAGACAACCUUCGGGUUGUAAAGCCCUUUUGUUGGGAAAGAAAAGCAGCAGGUUAAUACCCCGCUGUUCUGACGGUACCCAAAGAAUAAGCACCGGCUAACUUCGUG